UCUACUCAGUCUAUGCUCUUGCCUCACUCUUUUCUCUACUCGUCGCUGUCCCUUCUCUACUCUACAGUUUGUGCUCUUGCCCCCCUCUCACAGUCCAGCUAUGCCAUAGCUUCAACCAAAGCUCUCCUCCCAUGGUGACUCUCUCCACAGCCCCUAACAUCUACACUAUGAAGAUCCUAAGCUACAACCUUAAAUCUCAAAGAUCCUUGACCGACCGUCAACGCCCGUGCCCUGAACUCCAAUGGCUUUAUCUUCUAUCGCUAACAUAAGUGUGGAUGCUGAACUCUCCGUCAUUUGUGAAUACAACACCACUUGUCAUAUCUUUGGCAUAAAUAA
This 336-nucleotide long non-coding RNA is filed under the name Elaeis guineensis (African oil palm). RNAcentral's name for it is "long non-coding RNA (EGUI_LNC012580)". Lineage: Eukaryota; Viridiplantae; Streptophyta; Magnoliopsida; Arecales; Arecaceae. The record is from RNAcentral.